UACGUAGGCAGCGAGCGUUGUUCGGAAUUACUGGGCGUAAAGCGUGCGCAGGCGGUUUUGCAAGCCGGAUGUGAAAUCCCCGGGCUCAACCUGGGAAUGGCAUUCGGGACUGCAAGGCUGGAGUGCGGCAGAGGAGACUGGAAUUCCUGGUGUAGCAGUGAAAUGCGUAGAUAUCAGGAGGAAUACCGAUGGCGAAGGCAGGUCUCUGGGCUGACACUGACGCUCAUGCACGAAAGCGUGGGGAGCAAACAGG
This 253-nucleotide ribosomal RNA is filed under the name uncultured bacterium. RNAcentral describes it as "partial 16S ribosomal RNA". It matches the Rfam family "Bacterial small subunit ribosomal RNA", at positions 524 to 776 of the family's 1533-position model. The record is from RNAcentral.